AAAAAUGUGAAUAUCAAGAACAGUAAUUCUGCCAGUGAAUCCGCCUGCAAAUCUGCUACUAAAUCCGCUAAUGAUCCGCACAAACAAAAGAAGUCUAAAACAUCUCGAGAAGUUCAAUCUAAAAAAGUUGGAAAUAGAAAGAGGAAAGCCAGUGAAUCCGCCAGUGAAUCCGACAGUGAAUCCUACAGUGAAGCCGCAUGUCAAUCUGUCAGUAAAUCCGCUCAUGAUAAAGUGAUCAAGCACGAAAGUAAGAAAUUUAAAGGUUCUCGAGAAGCUCAUUCUAACAGAGAUUCAAGUAAGAAGCAGAAAAUUGUGAGAAAUCGGUGGACCGAUGAAGAAAUAAAGGCAGUUUUAAAUGAAUUCGAAUGCAAUAUCACAGCUGGAAAACUGCCAUCCUUAGGAGAUAUAUCGAAACUACAAGGACGAACAAAAUGCCUGGAAAAGAAAAAUCCAGCUUCAAUUAAGACUUGGAUUUAUAGUUACAUGAAUAAGAAGAAAAUGUUGUAAGAAAGUUAUUGAGAAAGUUUUUAUUUUUGUUACUAUUAACCAUCAAAUGGUUUUCAUAAUUACUUAUUUUAUUUAAAUCGUUUUGUAUUCUAUAAACAAAAACAAUUUUAUGCUUCUGUUAGGUCUUCCGUGCCUUUUAUA
This is a long non-coding RNA of Leptopilina boulardi, 648 nucleotides long. RefSeq lists it as uncharacterized. The record is from RefSeq and is a predicted model, not a curated record. NCBI's taxonomy places the organism in Eukaryota, Metazoa, Arthropoda, Insecta, Hymenoptera, Figitidae. The transcript is spliced from 3 exons.